This 348-nucleotide unclassified non-coding RNA is filed under the name soil metagenome. RNAcentral's name for it is "partial contains 5.8S ribosomal RNA, internal transcribed spacer 2, and large subunit ribosomal RNA". The stretch from base 1 to 120 matches the Rfam family "5.8S ribosomal RNA", at positions 35 to 154 of the family's 154-position model. The record is from RNAcentral.
GAUGAAGAACGCAGCGAAAUGCGAUAACUAGUGUGAAUUGCAGAAUUCCGUGAAUCAUCGAGUCUUUGAACGCACAUUGCGCCCCCUGGUAUUCCGGGGGGCAUGCCUGUCCGAGCGUCAUUGCUGCCCAUCAAGCACGGCUUGUGUGUUGGGUCGUCGUCCCCUCUCCGGGGGGGACGGGCCCCAAAGGCAGCGGCGGCACCGCGUCCGAUCCUCGAGCGUAUGGGGCUUUGUCACCCGCUCUGUAGGCCCGGCCGGCGCUUGCCGAACGCAAAUCAAUCUUUUCCAGGUUGACCUCGGAUCAGGUAGGGAUACCCGCUGAACUUAAGCAUAUCAAUAAGCGGAGGA